Molecule: long non-coding RNA, 473 nt
Organism: Sceloporus undulatus (fence lizard)
Lineage: Eukaryota; Metazoa; Chordata; Lepidosauria; Squamata; Phrynosomatidae
Exons: 3
Source: RefSeq, a predicted model, not a curated record
UACUAGAGAUAAUGGAUAUGGGAAGAAAUUUUAUUAAAAGUGUGGAAGAAAUUUAUAAGAACCAAACUGCGCGAAUAGUGAUAAAUGGGGAAUUAACACAGGAUUUUGAUAUUAAAAGAGGGACAAGGCAGGGAUGUCCGCUGUCUCCUCUGAUAUUUAUACUACUACUAGAAUUUCUGUUGAAUAAUAUUAGGAAAAAUCAGAAAAUUAGAGGUCUUAAAACUAAAGGGCUGGAAUACAAGGUGCAGGCCUAUGCGGACGACCUGGUGGUAGUGUUGGAAGACCCUAUCCACAACAUUGAAGCACUAUGGAAAGCAUUGAUGGAAAUUUGGAAUGUGGUUAGGGAAAAUUCUAUUUUAAAAUGCCUGGAUGGGUAUCUACCCAUGAAGCAUUCGCAAACAGAUGGGAUACAGGCGAAGAUUGGCUGAGGCAAGAAGCAGUAAGAAAGCAGGAGAUCAACACAAAGAGGUUUU